RNAcentral lists this long non-coding RNA (227 nucleotides) under Gossypium barbadense (sea-island cotton). RNAcentral describes it as "long non-coding RNA (GBAR_LNC014098)". Lineage: Eukaryota; Viridiplantae; Streptophyta; Magnoliopsida; Malvales; Malvaceae. The record is from RNAcentral.
GGGUCACAAGGGUCUCGCUUAAGUUCCAAUUUCCUUAACAGAAUUAAGUAAAUGUACUAAUUUAAGAAAAUGAUUUGUAACUUUUUAUUGAAAAGUAAAACCAUGAAAAAUUAAGGGUCUAAUAAUUUAAACAAGGUUUUAAUUCGAUCAACUUCACCAUCCCAAUAGUGCUUAAGACGUUGACCAUUAACUUUAAAUGUACCUCUGUGGUUGUCGUACAAUUCUAC